CCUACGGGAGGCAGCAGUGAGGAAUAUUGGUCAAUGGGCUUACGCCUGAACCAGCCAAGUCGCGUGAGGGAAGACUGCCCUACGGGUUGUAAACCUCUUUUGUAAGGGAGCAACGCCGGCUACGUGUAGCCGGACUGAGAGUAACUGAAGACAAAGCAUCGGCUAACUCCGGGCCAGCAGCCGCGGUAACACGGAGGAUGCGAGCGUUAUCCGGAUUUAUUGGGUUUAAAGGGUACGUAGGCGGACUGUCAAGUCAGCGGUAAAAAUGCGGGGCUCAACCCCGCUCCGCCGUUGAAACUGGCAGUCUUGAGUGGGCGAGAGGUAUGCGGAAUUCGUGGUGUAGCGGUGAAAUGCAUAGAUAUCACGCAGAACCCCGAUUGCGAAGGCAGCAUACCGGCGCCCAACUGACGCUGAGGCACGAAAGCGUGGGGAUCGAACAGGAUUAGAUACCCUAGUAGUC
Molecule: ribosomal RNA, 460 nt
Filed under: uncultured bacterium
Lineage: Bacteria
Description: partial 16S ribosomal RNA
Rfam family: Bacterial small subunit ribosomal RNA
Source: RNAcentral